CCGAGACUAACAGCGGAUCACUUCGGAGGCCAAGAGUGAGUCUCGGCAUACAGACAUCAGUCCAUAAACACACGUCCAUGGUGAGACGAGACGACAGAUGUCAUAGUUGUAAUGACGUCAAAAGACUAGUUUGACGUGAGGAGAGAAGCAGACAUGCUGAACUGGUGAAGCCAUCGAGAAUAAAAGGACGCGACAUUUUGCUGGCGCUGUUCCUGCUCCACAGCGCCAACUGAUGUCAACGAGUGGUGCUGGUGUGAUGUGAUGUUGAUGAGGUCCUACCUAGCACUCAAUCAAACGCAGGCAAAACUGUUCUCGACCCGUUCUGCACGUCUGCUUCUCUCCUCACGUCAAAUUAGUCUUUUGACGUCAUUACAACUAUGACGUCUGUCUUCUCAUCUCACCUCUGCCCUCACAUCGCCCUAAUCAAUCACCGCCGGACUACCGCCCUUCUACAAAAAGCAGAAGAAAUAAAAUAACGGCGCCUGCUCAGAAUGCCUGUGUCGGCCUACUAGCAGCCGCGUGUGUCACAAGUAGAUGUUUCCGUUGUGCCCUGCCCCCAUCCCAAGAUUUCGGCCAGUUAUGCAGCAUGGCACGAAUGCAGAAGAAGAAGAAAAAAAACCUUACAAGCCUACUGAUGGAAGGACAUUUUAAGUGCGGCGAUAAGAACAGACUGGAGUUUCGCCUGUGGAUUCAGUCACCAAGAUGUGUAUUUUCUGUCAUCAUAACUCACUGCCACAGGUCUGUCUGUGUGUACGCAUGACAUACAGCCGUAACCCAGUGUAACCUUACUGUCGUCUUCUCUCACACGCCUGUAUUCAGUUUCCGGCUAACGUGACGGACCGCCAUUUCGAUCACAAGACGUGCAAGAGUGGUCCUACUUGGAUUUUCCUCUCACGUGACUUUGCUUCCAUCCGGCGAAAGUUUUGGCAUCGGCUGGCACGAGGUCUAAUCUCGGCCCAGCGGGAGAUGAAAGCCUUGUGUACUUUCCAAGGUGGAAGGUUGUGCCCUCAAUACGAGAUCCUUCAUUUCUCAAGACCGGGAUCUGUCAUCUGCUACUCCAACUGCCUGUCUUGCCCUGCGGGCAGUCAACCGCAACUUGUCGUCUUGAAAAAAAUGUGAUGGACGGCCUGACAAGAAGCCAUGGCUGGCUGUGUACGCAUCCUGGCCCCCACGUGAUUUGUGUGUGAGUGGGAAGGUCGUUCGUGGCAUCUGCAUCUUCGGCGUAGGGCGACCUGCCCCAGAUCAUGGAGCGCAAGGAGC
This 1260-nucleotide unclassified non-coding RNA is filed under the name Pomacea canaliculata. Its description in RNAcentral is "n-acetyllactosaminide beta-1,6-N-acetylglucosaminyl- transferase-like, transcript variant X5". Lineage: Eukaryota; Metazoa; Mollusca; Gastropoda; Architaenioglossa; Ampullariidae. The record is from RNAcentral.